ACGCGCAGCGAGAGGUGCUUGCACCUUUCAAGCGAGUGGCGAACGGGUGAGUAACACGUGGAUAACCUGCCUCAAGGUUGGGGAUAACAUUUGGAAACAGAUGCUAAUACCGAAUAAAACUUAGUAUCGCAUGAUAUCAAGUUAAAAGGCGCUACGGCGUCACCUAGAGAUGGAUCCGCGGUGCAUUAGUUAGUUGGUGGGGUAAAGGCUUACCAAGACGAUGAUGCAUAGCCGAGUUGAGAGACUGAUCGGCCACAUUGGGACUGAGACACGGCCCAAACUCCUACGGGAGGCUGCAGUAGGGAAUCUUCCACAAUGGGCGCAAGCCUGAUGGAGCAACGCCGCGUGUGUGAUGAAGGCUUUCGGGUCGUAAAGCACUGUUGUAUGGGAAGAAAUGCUAAAAUAGGGAAUGAUUUUAGUUUGACGGUACCAUACCAGAAAGGGACGGCUAAAUACGUGCCAGCAGCCGCGGUAAUACGUAUGUCCCGAGCGUUAUCCGGAUUUAUUGGGCGUAAAGCGAGCGCAGACGGUUGAUUAAGUCUGAUGUGAAAGCCCGGAGCUCAACUCCGGAAUGGCAUUGGAAACUGGUUAACUUGAGUGUUGUAGAGGUAAGUGGAACUCCAUGUGUAGCGGUGGAAUGCGUAGAUAUAUGGAAGAACACCAGUGGCGAAGGCGGCUUACUGGACAACAACUGACGUUGAGGCUCGAAAGUGUGGGUAGCAAACAGGAUUAGAUACCCUGGUAGUCCACACCGUAAACGAUGAAUACUAGGUGUUAGGGAGGUUUCCGCCUCUUAGUGCCGAAGCUAACGCAUUAAGUAUUCCGCCUGGGG
RNAcentral lists this ribosomal RNA (832 nucleotides) under Leuconostoc citreum. Its description in RNAcentral is "bacterial SSU rRNA". It matches the Rfam family "Bacterial small subunit ribosomal RNA", at positions 62 to 878 of the family's 1533-position model. The record is from RNAcentral. Lineage: Bacteria; Bacillati; Bacillota; Bacilli; Lactobacillales; Lactobacillaceae.